UGGUAGGGCUCAGUGGUAGAGUGCUUGCCUUGCAAGCAUGAGGCCCUGGGUUUGAUUCCUCAGCACCA
This 68-nucleotide transfer RNA is filed under the name Dipodomys ordii (Ord's kangaroo rat). It matches the Rfam family "tRNA". From Rfam's summary of the family: Transfer RNA (tRNA) molecules are approximately 80 nucleotides in length. Their secondary structure includes four short double-helical elements and three loops (D, anti-codon, and T loops). The record is from Rfam by way of RNAcentral. Lineage: Eukaryota; Metazoa; Chordata; Mammalia; Rodentia; Heteromyidae.